Long non-coding RNA from Sus scrofa (pig), 2686 nucleotides. RefSeq lists it as uncharacterized. The record is from RefSeq and is a predicted model, not a curated record. Lineage: Eukaryota; Metazoa; Chordata; Mammalia; Artiodactyla; Suidae.
UAAGCCACUGAGCGAGCCAGGGAUCGAACCUGAAACCUCAUGGUUCCUAGUCGGGUUCGUUUCUGCUAUGCCACAACGGGGACUCCUGGGGAUGGACUUUUUAAGCAAGAGUUUUUAAUGCCCUCUCUGGGUAUAACACCACAAUGACCUCUGAAGAGGAUACAAGAGAGGAUGAGAAUGUGGGGAACGGCCACAAAGAGAUAAGGAAUCCCUGGAGGAGAGACCUCUGGUGCUCACGCUGUAAUUGGAGCGAUCUCAGCAGAAGGCACCGCAAACUGAGUGGUGCAGGUGGGGCCAAGGGGGCAUUUCAAACUAACCGGGUGGGCCAGGAGGGGCGGGGCGGCGAGGGGGGCAGUGGUGAGAGAAGACUGUGGAUUCCAGAGUAGGCAAGCCUACCUUUGAAUCUUGAUCUCUGCCCUUUCAAUGAAGUAUCAGGCAAGUCCCCGACCAUCUCCGAGUCUCCUGUGUAAAAGGCUUGUAGGAGGGUUGAAAUUACCCCGGGUGUGCAAUAUCUGACACAGUAUAGGAAUCCUGUACGUGUUAGCUCCAUCCCGAGAUGCCAUCUGAACUCACAUGAGACCUUUGUCCAUGUCCCUCUAUAAAUGUGCCUUUACAACAUGCCAUGGUCCACCCCACUCCCAACCAUUAUUUUCCGAGCUCAUUGGCCAAGGAUGGGUGAGAGGGAGACGGGAGCGGAAAGGCCCUCGGGAGGAUUCAUUCCUACGGCAUCUGGAUACAGAUCAGAUCCCCUACUUCCAUAACAUGCACGUUUCAUUUAGAUACACAGGGGUAGGAUUGGGUUCCUGGGGAGAAACUGAGCCUCUUCACGUCUGCCCGGUCUAAAUCAAGCAGUCCCUUGGUUACCCACUCCCGGGCUUUGUGAUUGGUCGGCUGCGAAGGUGGGGGAGGAGGGAAGUCGGCGGCUGAUGGAGCGGCAGCAUCCCUUAGCCUCAGGCCCCAGGAGGGGGAGGGAAAAAGCAGGGCUGAGCCGGGGAGGGAAGGGGGAGCCAUUUCUCUCCACUGACCGCCACCUCCGUGCUCACCGCUCGCGUUUCCCCGGCAUCCGGAGGCCUCCCCAGCCAAGGACUCCACAAUGCUGGAUAUUUUCAUCCUGAUGUUCUUUGCCAUCAUAGGCCUGGUCAUUCUGUCCUAUAUUAUCUAUCUGCUCUAGGGGCCCGCAGCGGCGGCGUGGAGCCCGCAGGAGAACAGCGCAUGGGGGAAGGAUGAAGCUGACUGGCGGAGGAGCAUCCUGCCUGCUGACGCAUCGGUGGAUUUUUGCUUCUGGUCAUUAUUUCGGCUCCUGGACUCUGGUGCCACGAGAGGCCCCUUUAUCAACAGCAGGAGUCCUGCUGUCCAGCAGACCUCUUCCAGAACCUUCCGGAUAUGGUUCGCCCUUGUCAAGCAAGGGGCUUUCUGAGUUCAGAGGCAGAGGCAGUCGGCUGGGACGUCAGGAAUUCACGGGCAUGGCCGGCAGCUGCUGCAUGCAAUGAAGCUUGUAGACACAGGGAGCGGAAAUGUAGACUCGUUAAAGUUACCGUGGAGGAUCGCUCCGAAAUUCAUUCUGAUAGCUUUUCCUGAAGUCUAAAUGCCACCACAUAUGAUGCUGCAAUACGUUCUUUCCUUUCUCUCUCACACGCAGGGGUUCCCUUGUGUUAAGUCCUAGAGCACAUUAUCUGUCUUCAUCUAUGAGGCGGUCACUUUAUCACGGUCUUCAGGGAUUACACAAUCUGAGGUUGUGUGGUUUCCCGUGUCUCACUCUCUAGAAGGAACUAGUCAUUUGAGUUUUUAAGAUUUCUCAUAUCUUUCCAGACCCCUUGUGCUCCAGCAUCUCAUUCAAAGAGAGAAACAGUUAUAUUGUCCUCAUUCUUGGUGCCUAACUAAAUUACAAAUGAUUGAAAAAAGAUGGCUAGACUUAUCUUGUUAUUUGGAAAAAAAUCUCUCUCAUACCCCCAAAUAAAUGUUUUUUAUAUUGUCAAAUGGUCUUUUUUUAAAAAAAAAAAAAAGAAAGCAAAAACUUUCAUCAUAUUUCUCUAAGUAGGGUUGAGGAAACCAUAUAUUUAGGGAUCCGAAGUAGCCUUGGGCCCCAAAUCUGUGGUAUCUGUUCCUUUGAAAAGUCCAUCAUGAUGAUUCCCUACUUGACUUUUCCUUCUAGUAUAAAAAUAAACAAGGAGAUGGAGUUCCCGUCGUGGCUCAGUGGUUAAUGAAUCCGACUAGGAACCAUGAGGUGGAGGGUUCGGUCCCUUACCUCGCUCAGCGGGUUAAGGAUCCGGUGUUUCCGUGAGCUGUGGUGUAGGCUGCAGACUCGGCUUGGAUCCUGAGUUGCUGUGGCUGUGGCGUAGGCCAGUGGCUACAGCUCCGAUUAGACCCCUAGCCUGGGAACCUCCAUAGGCCAUGGGAGCAGCCCAAGAAAUGGCAAAAAGGAAAAAUAAAUAAGUAAAUAAAUAAACAAGGAGAAAGAUUAACGUAGUUCUUAUUCAUACAUUGUGUUCCAUUUCCAUGUUUUAAAUUGAAAUAAAAUUGAGGCAAUAUCAUAUAUGUCACAAUUAAAAUGGAAAAAUUAAAAUUUGACACCAAAAAACACUGUUCUAGAAGCUUGACUUGGCAACAUAUUAUGUGAUCUUCAAUAAGUUUUUUUAACCUUCAGGGCUUUAAUUUAUUCUGACAAAUAAAUGAUUGGACUAGAAAA